GAUUAUGCUUUCUUUUGUUAUCUGUUGUUCAAUGCUCUAACAUUUGAAUUUUUGCAGGAUGGAGUAUCAUUUAGAUGGGGAGUUGAGACGGAUGACGGGGAAGGCUACUUGGAACAGUAGCUUUGAGAGUUUUACUACUGUGUUGGAGCUGCUCGAUGAUCAACACAAAGAUAUGCUACGAUAGUCUUUCUUAUGGCCACUGUACCAGUUGCGAGAGGUGCAGUACUC
This 228-nucleotide long non-coding RNA is filed under the name Olea europaea (common olive). RNAcentral describes it as "long non-coding RNA (OEUR_LNC012265)". Lineage: Eukaryota; Viridiplantae; Streptophyta; Magnoliopsida; Lamiales; Oleaceae. The record is from RNAcentral.